Molecule: ribosomal RNA, 864 nt
Filed under: uncultured bacterium
Lineage: Bacteria
Description: bacterial SSU rRNA
Rfam family: Bacterial small subunit ribosomal RNA
Source: RNAcentral
UAUCAUGCAAGUCGAGCGAAUCGAUGGGAGCUUGCUCCCUGAGAUUAGCGGCGGACGGGUGAGUAACACGUGGGCAACCUGCCUAUAAGACUGGGAUAACUUCGGGAAACCGGAGCUAAUACCGGAUACGUUCUUUUCUCGCAUGAGAGAAGAUGGAAAGAUGGUUUACGCUGUCACUUAUAGAUGGGCCCGCGGCGCAUUAGCUAGUUGGUGAGGUAAUGGCUCACCAAGGCGACGAUGCGUAGCCGACCUGAGAGGGUGAUCGGCCACACUGGGACUGAGACACGGCCCAGACUCCUACGGGAGGCAGCAGUAGGGAAUCUUCCGCAAUGGACGAAAGUCUGACGGAGCAACGCCGCGUGAACGAAGAAGGCCUUCGGGUCGUAAAGUUCUGUUGUUAGGGAAGAACAAGUACCAGAGUAACUGCUGGUACCUUGACGGUACCUAACCAGAAAGCCACGGCUAACUACGUGCCAGCAGCCGCGGUAAUACGUAGGUGGCAAGCGUUGUCCGGAAUUAUUGGGCGUAAAGCGCGCGCAGGUGGUUCCUUAAGUCUGAUGUGAAAGCCCACGGCUCAACCGUGGAGGGUCAUUGGAAACUGGGGAACUUGAGUGCAGAAGAGGAAAGUGGAAUUCCAAGUGUAGCGGUGAAAUGCGUAGAGAUUUGGAGGAACACCAGUGGCGAAGGCGACUUUUCUGGUCUGUAACUGACACUUGAGGCGCGAAAAGCGUGGGGGAGCAAACAGGAUUAGAUACCCCUGGUUAGUCCACGCCCGUUAAACGAUUAAGUGCCUAAUUGUUAGAAGGGUUUCCCCCCCUUUAUUGCCUGCAGCUUAACGCAUUAACCACUCCCUCCUGGGGAGUA